This 406-nucleotide ribosomal RNA is filed under the name uncultured bacterium. RNAcentral describes it as "partial 16S ribosomal RNA". It matches the Rfam family "Bacterial small subunit ribosomal RNA", at positions 29 to 526 of the family's 1533-position model. The record is from RNAcentral.
AUUGAACGCUGGCGGCAUGCUUUACACAUGCAAGUCGGACGAGUGGCGAACGGGUGAGUAAAGCAUCGGAACGUACCAAGUAAUGGGGGAUAACUGCCCGAAAGGACAGCUAAUACCGCAUAUUAUCCGAGCGGCCGAUGUCUGAUUAGCGGGUUGGAGGGGUAAAGGCCCACCAAGGAGACGAUCCGUAGCGGGUCUGAGAGGAGGAUCAGCCACACUGGGACGGAGACACGGCCCAUACUCCUACGGGAGGCAGCAGUGGGGAAGUUUGGACAAUGGGCGCAAGCCUGAUCCAGCCAUGCCGCGUGUCUGAAGAAGGCCUUCGGGUUGGAAAGGACUUUUGUCAGGGAAGCGGUACCUGAAGAAGAAGCACCGGCUAACUCCGUGCCAGCCGCCGCGGUAAUAC